Molecule: long non-coding RNA, 1457 nt
Organism: Wyeomyia smithii (pitcher-plant mosquito)
Lineage: Eukaryota; Metazoa; Arthropoda; Insecta; Diptera; Culicidae
Exons: 3
Source: RefSeq, a predicted model, not a curated record
GUAUCGCUUUCGUACGAAAGCAGCAGCGGCGUACGAAUGCGAUACGAACACAUACGAAUCCGAUUCGUUCUAACCAAUUCGAGCUUUCGAACAUCGUUGCUUUCGUACGAACGUGUCAUUCUUGUUUACGUACGUAUGCGUAUCCGUAUUCUUUUUGCUCUCGUUCGUAAACGUCAGUCAAAAGUUGCGAAUCGCUUUACGAAUCGCCGGCGCCGGUAGUUUUUUCUCGUUUUUCUGCUGUUUUAUGUAAAUUGUUUUUUUUUAAUCGAAUAAGCCGAAGAAGAUUUGUUUUUUAGUGAACUGUUAAAUAAAAAACUUUUGUGCUACUCGAUUUGCUAAAAUGAAAAGGCAAUCGAAAGUUGUGAAUCGCCAUCGCCGCGGGUUGUUUUGGUUAUUUCGUGUGAAGAAAAUCGGAUAAAUUGGACAAAGUUUCUUUUCUAGUGAAGGGUUGAAUGAUGAAAAAAUUUGCUGAAAUCGUUGCCGGAUAUUUGAAUCGUUUUGUUAGUGCUAUCAGCAAUAUCCUUUAAGCCAGUAAACUUAGUUGAAACGUCAUACUAGAUUAUUCCCCCACGAAAACGGCGAAUGUUUAUACGUUUAACCCAACGAACAAGCAAAGUUGUUGCAUCACUGAUUGACGAUGGCUUAUUAAAAUUUACAAGGCAGGUCUAAUGAGCAAAAAGACCUAUUUCAGUGAUCAGGAUGCAGGACCGUUGGCGACACCGAAAUUAUUACAAAAAGAUCCAGCACCGGUUGAAAUACCUCCAAGUUCGUCGAUCACACCAAUAUCAACGUUUUAUGGGGACCAGUGCCGUAGGAGCUGAUUACAGCGGAAUGUACCGCUAAUUGUUACAAUUCUCAAAAAAUUGUGAGGAUAUUUCGGCUUGUUUGGUUUGCUGACGAAACCUGCCAUUCGUUAGUUGGGUGUUGACAGACAGACAGACAGGGCUUUGAUUUUGAUAAGGAUACAAAAUAACUACAGACGGUGAAAAACAGUAUGCCAUCUAACGUGCCACCCACCAUGCCAAUCACAGUUUGUUCAUAUUCAUAAAAGGACCACCACCCAUGAACGGCAUUGUCGAAGACAAUUUUUUAAAAUAACGACUUUUACGACUUGGUUACCAAUCAAAUUGAAAAUCGUGGAACAAUUUUAUCGAUAACAGUGGUGGUGGCGGCUCUGGUAGUGGUCGGCGCCACUAAAGCAACUGGAUGAACAAUUAUCGUUGAGGCCUCCGAAGUAGCAACUACCGGCCACUAUGGCUAUCAACCAUUAUUCUGCUUGUAUAGAGCAUAUUUGUCAUAGAGCAUAAUAUAACAGCGCUUAGUAUAUAAGAUGAAAACUAUGCCAAAUGAGCUAACGUCGAAUAUCGACCAUUCUUGGUUUAAAUUAAACUUUACUCACGUUUGAAUAACUUAAAAAAGCUCAUGUGUCAUUUUUGACUAACAAAAUUUUUAAUAAA